RNAcentral lists this ribosomal RNA (773 nucleotides) under uncultured Neocallimastigales. RNAcentral describes it as "partial large subunit ribosomal RNA". It matches the Rfam family "Eukaryotic large subunit ribosomal RNA", at positions 23 to 616 of the family's 3401-position model. The record is from RNAcentral. Lineage: Eukaryota; Fungi; Neocallimastigomycota; Neocallimastigomycetes; Neocallimastigales.
AGAGAGAGACAUGCGCGCAUAUCAAUAAGCGGAGGAAAAGAAACUAACAAGGAUUCCCUAGUAACGGCGAGUGAAGCGGGAAGAGCUCAAAUUUGAAAUCUUAAAGGGUUUCCCUUUACGAAUUGUAGUUUAAAGAAGUGUUUUCUGUUGAGGUUUUGGUAAAAGUUCUUUGGAAUAGGACAUCAUAGAGGGUGAGAAUCCCGUAUUUGACCUUUACUUUCAACUUUGUGAUACACUUUCAAAGAGUCGGAUUGUUUGGGAAUGCAGUCCAAAAUGGGUGGUAAAUUUCAUCUAAAGCUAAAUAUUGGCGAGAGACCGAUAGCGAACAAGUACCGUGAGGGAAAGAUGAAAAGAACUUUGAAAAGAGAGUUAAACAGUACGUGAAAUUGUCAAAAGGGAAGCGUUUGACACCAGUGUUGUUUUUCUGAAAAUCAAUUAAAGAACUGUUUAUGCUAAGUUGUUUAGACUUUAUCAGCUAUCUGUUUAGUUUUGAGCUUUUCUUUAAUGCACUUUUCAGUUAACAAGUCAACAUCAAUUUCUUUUGCUGUAAAAAAGCUUGAGGAAGGUGGCUUGAGAUUCGUCUUAAGUGUUUAUAGCCUCUUGCCUAUGCAGUCGGAGAGAUUGAGGUCUGCAGCGUAGAUCCUUCGGGGCUAAAUGCAUUUGUGCUAAGUUAUAGCAUUUUAUAGACAACUUGUUGACUAUGAUUUGUCUUGUAGCUUACUCGCUUAUGUUAUUUUACCUACGCUUAGGAUGUUGAGCGCAUGUCUCUCUCU